This 910-nucleotide ribosomal RNA is filed under the name uncultured bacterium. RNAcentral's name for it is "bacterial SSU rRNA". It matches the Rfam family "Bacterial small subunit ribosomal RNA", at positions 33 to 972 of the family's 1533-position model. The record is from RNAcentral.
ACGCUGACAGAAUGCUUAACACAUGCAAGUCUACUUGAACUUCGGUUUGGGUGGCGGACGGGUGAGUAACGCGUAAAGAACUUGCCUCACAGUUAGGGACAACAUUUGGAAACGAAUGCUAAUACCUGAUAUUAUGAUUUUAGGGCAUCCUAAGAUUAUGAAAGCUAUAUGCGCUGUGAGAGAGCUUUGCGUCCCAUUAGCUAGUUGGAGAGGUAACGGCUCACCAAGGCGAUGAUGGGUAGCCGGCCUGAGAGGGUGAACGGCCACAAGGGGACUGAGACACGGCCCUUACUCCUACGGGAGGCAGCAGUGGGGAAUAUUGGACAAUGGACCAAAAGUCCGAUCCAGCAAUUCUGUGUGCACGAUGACGUUUUUCGGAAUGUAAAGUGCUUUCAGUUGGGAAGAAAAAAAUGACGGUACCAACAGAAGAAGUGACGGCUAAAUACGUGCCAGCAGCCGCGGUAAUACGUAUGUCACAAGCGUUAUCCGGAUUUAUUGGGCGUAAAGCGCGUCUAGGUGGUUAUGUAAGUCUGAUGUGAAAAUGCAGGGCUCAACUCUGUAUUGCGUUGGAAACUGCAUGACUAGAGUACUGGAGAGGUAAGCGGAACUACAAGUGUAGAGGUGAAAUUCGUAGAUAUUUGUAGGAAUGCCGAUGGGGAAGCCAGCUUACUGGACAGAUACUGACGCUAAAGCGCGAAAGCGUGGGUAGCAAACAGGAUUAGAUACCCUGGUAGUCCACGCCGUAAACGAUGAUUACUAGGUGUUGGGGGUCGAACCUCAGCGCCCAAGCUAACGCGAUAAGUAAUCCGCCUGGGGAGUACGUACGCAAGUAUGAAACUCAAAGGAAUUGACGGGGACCCGCACAAGCGGUGGAGCAUGUGGUUUAAUUCGACGCAACGCGAGGAACCUU